UGAGCAUCUACUUCUGUGUUUGCAGU
Molecule: unclassified non-coding RNA, 26 nt
Filed under: Mus musculus (house mouse)
Lineage: Eukaryota; Metazoa; Chordata; Mammalia; Rodentia; Muridae
Description: piRNA piR-mmu-68533680
Source: RNAcentral